Epinephelus fuscoguttatus (brown-marbled grouper) is the source of this 697-nucleotide long non-coding RNA. RefSeq lists it as uncharacterized. The transcript is spliced from 3 exons. The record is from RefSeq and is a predicted model, not a curated record. NCBI's taxonomy places the organism in Eukaryota, Metazoa, Chordata, Actinopteri, Perciformes, Serranidae.
CCUGCAUCCAAUUCUCUCAAUUAUGCAAAUUGGGUUGAAAUCAAAGUAGUUGGAGGGGGUGAAAAUUUUUCAGAUGAAAAGUUGGGGAGCCUCUGAACGAGACUGCAGUGCUUUUUAGGUUAGCCGGUCCGCUCCGUCUUCUCACACAAGCUAAGAUCUUCCACACUGUGAAGUGAACACAAAGAAAGGGAGUUUGGACAAAUUGGGAGAUUAGGGGCCGGUUAUCAAAGUAGAUUUAUUGUGCCUUGUUCAAGCGAAGGAUGAAAAUACCCUGUGGGCAUGGAGAAGGGGUCAUGGGACUCCCAAAAGGAUUACCUUGAACUGGAGUCAUGAGACUUGGGCGAACAAAGACCUUGCUCACAUGCUCAUCAUAUUAACCGGCCCUCAUAAAGUGAAGAAGUUUCAUGUCCUGUGGGACUCAAUGAGAGCGCUUGACUGGGAGCACAGCACCAGGAGAACGCUCUGGUAGAGGAGCAGCAGACUUCUUCUCUACUCACUGGGCUUAACCUGCAGCAGCACCACAGAUAAGACUCUGCGGCUCGGACAGAAGACUGUGUGCACAAAAAGCUUGGAUUGAGAGGACCUUUGUAAAAAGAGAAUGUGUUCACAAAUUCCCCACCAAGGACCCGACCAGAUGUGCCUGUGGUCAGCUGAACGCGCAGCACGUGGCCAUCCCUGCUGGUGCCAACUCACUAGA